Molecule: ribosomal RNA, 280 nt
Filed under: uncultured bacterium
Lineage: Bacteria
Description: partial 16S ribosomal RNA
Rfam family: Bacterial small subunit ribosomal RNA
Source: RNAcentral
UGCCAGCAGCCGCGGUAACACGUAGGGGGCGAACGUUGUCCGGAUUUAUUGGGCGUAAAGGGCUCGUAGGCGGUUUAGCAAGUCGGUCGUGAAAGCCCGGGGCUCAACCCCGGGACGCCGGUCGAAACUGCUAUGACUAGGGUCCGGUAGAGGUGAGUGGAAUUCUCGGUGUAGCGGUGAAAUGCGCAGAUAUCGAGAGGAACACCAGUAGCGAAGGCGGCUCACUGGGCCGGUACCGACGCUGAGGAGCGAAAGCGUGGGGAGCAAACAGGAUUAGAUA